This is a long non-coding RNA of Pseudophryne corroboree (corroboree frog), 484 nucleotides long. RefSeq lists it as uncharacterized. The record is from RefSeq and is a predicted model, not a curated record. The transcript is spliced from 3 exons. NCBI's taxonomy places the organism in Eukaryota, Metazoa, Chordata, Amphibia, Anura, Myobatrachidae.
GGUGGUGCAGAGGCGCCACGACAUCAGCUUCCUACUGACAGGCUGAAAACAGCUCUAAGUGACAGAUGUCAGCUGCUUCUAUUCCACACCGUGUGAGGGAAGACGCCAUACAGACCUACACUCCCAGAACAUCUCAGAGACCGAGGCAUUUUAAGACUGGAGGGUCCGGUGUGCAGACUGCUGUGGGUCCAUGUCGCUGGGAAGACCAUCGAAGGAUCCACCAUGGAUGGUCUCCACACACAGGUAUAUGGAGGGGGCCCAUCCCAUGCCUCCUGUCAGUCAAAAUGACUGACGGUCCUUUCCACGUCUUCUCAGGCAGCAAUAUCUUCUCAAUGUGUCCUGUUAUCUAUUGGCUUAGAACUCUAGAUUUCCACCCUUGAAUCAAUUACCCAGUUUAUAUAUAGACUGAAGAAACAGUAAAACUGCACCCUGAUAAUCAGCUGCUUCACACGAAUAAACCACAAAACAAAUGAGAAAACCUCAU